This 68-nucleotide transfer RNA is filed under the name Bothriometopus macrocnemis. RNAcentral's name for it is "tRNA-Arg". The record is from RNAcentral. Lineage: Eukaryota; Metazoa; Arthropoda; Insecta; Psocodea; Philopteridae.
AAACAACAAGCUUUAUUGAAGUUUGUAUUUUCGACAUACAAGAUUACGUUAAAAGACGUAGUUGUUUA